RNAcentral lists this long non-coding RNA (486 nucleotides) under Arachis ipaensis. RNAcentral's name for it is "long non-coding RNA (AIPA_LNC000246)". Lineage: Eukaryota; Viridiplantae; Streptophyta; Magnoliopsida; Fabales; Fabaceae. The record is from RNAcentral.
AUAUUAUAGUAUUACUUAUGUGAGUGAGUGAUCUUGGAGCCAAUUACGUGUGGGUAUUUUACUAACAACAAUGCAAUUGCAGUGUGUGGAUUUAGAUUUUUUUUUCUUGUUGGUCUUCUCUUGCCAUCUAUAUAUUAGUUGAUUGCAAUUGGCUAGUAUCCUGGUUGGUUAUUUAGCAAAAGUUAAACAUUAUUGUUUCGGUAAAAAUUCAGGUGCAGUUGACUUUACGUGAAGUUGAUAACUGAGAGUCGUUAGAUGAUUUGACUGAUCUGACUAAAUUUUCAUCUAAUGACUUUCAACUAUCAACUUCACGUAAAGUCGACUGCACCUGAGUUUUCACCUAUUAGGCUAUUAUUCCUUCCUUUAAAAUAAUUACUCUAUCGAUCUCUAACUCCAUUAUUUGAGCUUAGGGAAUAGUAGAGUCUAGGUCAGAGCUAUAACAGUAUGAAAAUUGUGUGCAUGUGUUGGCCUUGAAUAAUUAAUUAA